UCAGGUCGUGGCUGAUGAUAGGACCGUACAGUGUGAUCACUCAGGUCAUGGCUGACGAUCAGACCGUACAGUGUGAUCACUCAGGUCGUGGCUGAUAAUCAGACUGUACAGUGUGAUCGCUCAGGUUGUGGCUGACGAUCGGACCGUACAGUGUGAUCGCUCAGGUCGUGGCUGACGAUCGGACCAUACAGUGUGAU
Molecule: long non-coding RNA, 197 nt
Organism: Sebastes umbrosus (honeycomb rockfish)
Lineage: Eukaryota; Metazoa; Chordata; Actinopteri; Perciformes; Sebastidae
Exons: 3
Source: RefSeq, a predicted model, not a curated record